AACACAUGCAAGUCGAACGGUAACAGGAAGCAGCUUGCUGUUUUUGCUGACGAGUGGCGGACGGGUGAGUAAUGUCUGGGAAACUGCCUGAUGGAGGGGGAUAACUACUGGAAACGGUAGCUAAUACCGCAUAACGUCGCAAGACCAAAGAGGGGGACCUUCGGGCCUCUUGCCAUCGGAUGUGCCCAGAUGGGAUUAGCUAGUAGGUGGGGUAACGGCUCACCUAGGCGACGAUCCCUAGCUGGUCUGAGAGGAUGACCAGCCACACUGGAACUGAGACACGGUCCAGACUCCUACGGGAGGCAGCAGUGGGGAAUAUUGCACAAUGGGCGCAAGCCUGAUGCAGCCAUGCCGCGUGUAUGAAGAAGGCCUUCGGGUUGUAAAGUACUUUCAGCGGGGAGGAAGGGAG
RNAcentral lists this ribosomal RNA (409 nucleotides) under Escherichia coli. RNAcentral describes it as "bacterial SSU rRNA". It matches the Rfam family "Bacterial small subunit ribosomal RNA", at positions 50 to 454 of the family's 1533-position model. Lineage: Bacteria; Pseudomonadati; Pseudomonadota; Gammaproteobacteria; Enterobacterales; Enterobacteriaceae. The record is from RNAcentral.